Molecule: ribosomal RNA, 721 nt
Filed under: uncultured Alphaproteobacteria bacterium
Lineage: Bacteria; Pseudomonadati; Pseudomonadota; Alphaproteobacteria
Description: bacterial SSU rRNA
Rfam family: Bacterial small subunit ribosomal RNA
Source: RNAcentral
CGAACGAAGACCCGGAGCUUGCUCCGGAUCUCUUAGUGGCGAACGGGUGAGUAACGCGUGGGAAUCUACCUGAAAGUGGGGAAUAACUGUUGGAAACGACAGCUAAUACCGCAUAAUCCCUUUGGGGCAAAGGCUUCGGCCGCUUUCAGAUGAGCCCGCGUUAGAUUAGGCUGUUGGUGAGGUAAUGGCCCACCAAACCUACAAUCUAUAGCUGGUCUGAGAGGAUGAUCAGCCACACUGGGACUGAGACACGGCCCAGACUCCUACGGGAGGCAGCAGUGGGGAAUAUUGGACAAUGGGGGAAACCCCGAUCCAGCAAUGCCGCGUGAGUGAUGAAGGCCUUAGGGUUGUAAAACUCUUUCAGAAGUGAAGAUGAUGACGGUAACUUCAGAAGAAGCUCCGGCUAACUCCGUGCCAGCAGCCGCGGUAAUACGGAGGGAGCUAGCGUUGUUCGGAAUUACUGGGCGUAAAGGGCGUGUAGGCUGUUAGGUAAGUCAGAGGUGAAAUCCCUAAGCUCAACUUAGGAACUGCCUUUGAUACUAUCUUACUAGAGAUCGAGAGAAGUUGGCGGAAUUCCAAGUGUAGAGGUGAAAUUCGUAGAUAUUUGGAAGAACACCAGUGGCGAAAGCGGCCAACUGGCUCGUAUCUGACGCUGAGACGCGAAAGCGUGGGUAGCAAACAGGAUUAGAUACCCUGGUAGUCCACGCCGUAAACGAUGAGU